Molecule: ribosomal RNA, 447 nt
Filed under: uncultured soil bacterium
Lineage: Bacteria
Description: bacterial SSU rRNA
Rfam family: Bacterial small subunit ribosomal RNA
Source: RNAcentral
AGAACGAACGCUGGCGGCAUGCCUAACACAUGCAAGUCGAACGAGACCUUCGGGUCUAGUGGCGCACGGGUGCGUAACGCGUGGGAAUCUGCCCUUGGGUUCGGGAUAACAGUUGGAAACGACUGCUAAUACCGGAUGAUGACUUCGGUCCAAAGAUUUAUCGCCCAGGGAUGAGCCCGCGUCGGAUUAGCUAGUUGGUGGGGUAAAGGCCUACCAAGGCAACGAUCCGUAGCUGGUCUGAGAGGAUGAUCAGCCACACUGGGACUGAGACACGGCCCAGACUCCUACGGGAGGCAGCAGUGGGGAAUAUUGGACAAUGGGCGAAAGCCUGAUCCAGCAAUGCGCGUGAGUGAUGAAGGCCUUAGGUUGUAAAGCUACUUUACCCGGGAUGAUAAUAGACAGUACCGGAGAAUAAGCCCCGGCUAACGUCCGUGCCAGCCAGCCGAC